CAAAAACAUUGCCUCAUGAAAACUAGAAUAUGAGGUCAGUCCUGCCCAGUGGCUUGCGAGUUAAACGGCCGCAGUAAACAUGACUGUGCUAAGGUAGCGUGAUUAGUUGCCCUUUAAUUGGGGGCGUGACGAAUGGAUUUACGAGGGUUAAGCUGUCUCCUGUCGAGCAAAUGAAAUUGGGCCACAGGUGAAAAUACCUGUAUGUGAACACAAGACAAGAAGACCCCGUAGAGCUUUGUUUAAAGCUAGGCGACAGGCGUUCUGUUUAGGGCGCCCGUCGGACUGAUAAAAACUUAACUGGGGUGGUUGAGGAAAAGCUAAACUUCUUUUCUCUAGUAGACGGCGAUAUGCCACGGAGGAUCUAUAGGGAAACAAUUUGUUCUAAUAUAGUCAAAAGAAAAGCUACCUCGGGGGUAACAGACUAAUUUUUCCUAAGAGUUCACAUUGACGGAAAAGUUUGGCACAUCGAUGUUGGCUUAGGAGAUCCCGUGGGUCAGUAGCAGCCUGCAAUGGUGGGUUUGUUCAACCUUUAAACUCCUACGUGAUCUGA
Molecule: ribosomal RNA, 550 nt
Filed under: Samytha sexcirrata
Lineage: Eukaryota; Metazoa; Annelida; Polychaeta; Terebellida; Ampharetidae
Description: partial 16S ribosomal RNA
Rfam family: Bacterial large subunit ribosomal RNA
Source: RNAcentral